GACGAACGCUGGCGGCGUGCUUAACACAUGCAAGUCGAACGGUGAAGCGCCUUCCUUUUUGGUGGGUGUGGAUGAGUGGCGAACGGGUGAGUAACACGUGAGUAACCUGCCCCCUUCUUCUGGAUAACCGCAUGAAAGUGUGGCUAAUACGGGAUAUUCUGGGUCUGUCGCAUGAUGGGUCUGGGAAAGAUAUUGUUUCGGUGGGGGAUGGGCUCGCGGCCUAUCAGCUUGUUGGUAGGGUGAUGGCCUACCAAGGCGGUGACGGGUAGCCGGCCUGAGAGGGUGGACGGUCACACUGGGACUGAGACACGGCCCAGACUCCUACGGGAGGCAGCAGUGUGGAAUAGGGCACAAUGGGCGCAAGCCUGAUGCAGCGACGCCGCGUGAGGGAUGGAGGCCUUCGGGUUGUGAACCUCUUUCGCCAGUGAAGCAGGCCUGCCUCGUUUGUGGGUGGGUUGACGGUAGCUGGAUAAGAAGCGCCGGCUAACUACGUG
RNAcentral lists this ribosomal RNA (494 nucleotides) under uncultured bacterium. RNAcentral's name for it is "partial 16S ribosomal RNA". It matches the Rfam family "Bacterial small subunit ribosomal RNA", at positions 28 to 507 of the family's 1533-position model. The record is from RNAcentral.